Molecule: long non-coding RNA, 1099 nt
Organism: Astyanax mexicanus (Mexican tetra)
Lineage: Eukaryota; Metazoa; Chordata; Actinopteri; Characiformes; Acestrorhamphidae
Exons: 6
Source: RefSeq, a predicted model, not a curated record
CCUGAUAGCAGACUACUCCGAUCCGGAUCCGUUUUACCUCCGGCAGAUCCGCGCUACAGUCAGGUCUGUUUAGUGGAUCUGGUCCGGCUUCACUCCGGGUUCGGGUUAUGAUUGUGACUCACGUUCAGAUCCGUUUUACUGACGGUAAAUCCGCAUAACAGUCCGUCUCAUUUCACGCCUUCCAUAUGACUUCGGCACGGAGUCGGAUACCAGAUGUGAGUUCAGUGUCAGUUCAGUGUCGUUUUGCGGAUCCGGGCCGCAUCGGCGGAGCGGCACAGGAGCGGGAGAAAUUCAAACUCAGCGCGAGGACCAACUGACAUCUGCUGAAUCUGCGCUUCAGGGCUGCUGAGGGCUGGGGACCUGAGAUAAGGUGUAAUCAUUUACCCAACAAAUCACCUAACAAGGAUCAGCCUGGAUCCUAACAGUACUUGAUGCACUGAGCAGUGACAUUAUACAUAGAGUAGUUAAGCAGGAUUUGGUAUCCGCAAAAUGGUUCGAGGUCCUCAGCCCUCGCCUCCCCCAGCACAGAGGAAAACUACCAAGGGCGGUACUCUCAUUAUAGGAGAUUCAAUUGUUAGACAUUUAAAAGUAUCUAAGAGUAAUGGCACAAUUUCAUGUCUUCCAGAUGCAUGCGGCAAGCGGCUCCCUGGGGUGCAUUGCCAAAGCAGGAACCCCGGCACCAUCGCCCUCCACGUGGAGAUGAGCUUUCGGGAGCGACCGGCCCCGUUCCACAGAGACAGGCUUCUCUCUGUGAACAUCGAGGCGGUGCUACGCUGAGACUGACUGUCUCUACCCAGUCACACCAGCCAAGCUGCACUGUAGUGGUGUUAAGUGUCCAAGAAUGCUCUCAUCAGUGGAGGCACAGCUGGCUGCAAAAAACGUCUGUGUCUGCAUGUUUAUAUUAUGUGAAUUAAAAAUGGUUUUAUUAUUAAAAUAAUUGUAUUAAUGCCUGUUGAUUUAUAAAUUGUUUAAUUGAAAUCAAAUUUUAUUUAAGUAGCUUAAUUAAGUAUUGCAUUUAUAACUGAUGGUAUUUUAUUUAAUUAGCUUAAGUAUUGCAUUUAUAAGUGAUGGUAUUUUAUUUUAAUUAGCUUAAGUAUUG